RNAcentral lists this long non-coding RNA (664 nucleotides) under Phoenix dactylifera (date palm). RNAcentral describes it as "long non-coding RNA (PDAC_LNC006845)". The record is from RNAcentral. Lineage: Eukaryota; Viridiplantae; Streptophyta; Magnoliopsida; Arecales; Arecaceae.
GAGAGGAGGGAGGGAGGAGGAGAGAGAGGGGGAGGGAGAGGCCACAAGGAGGGUUAGCCUGUUAGUGUUUGAUGAGAGAACGGAGAGAGGCAAGAGGAAAGAUGGAUUGGGUUGUAUUGGAAGGUAGCAAGAAGAGUCAAGAUGGGUUUGGCUGGUGGGAAGAAGAAUGAAGGAGAGAGGACGAAGGAGGAUUUGGUUGAAGCUUGAAGUGGAGAGGUGGGAGGAAGAAAGAGAAAAGGGCACAAACACUAGCAUGCAGUGACCAGGACUGUGAAUCUUUCAGAUAUCUAAUGAUAUUAUCAAAUAUCAUGAGAUGUCGGCAUGGAAAAAUUACGAGAACAAAGAGAGGCAAGAGGAAAGAUGGCUUGGGUUGUAUUGAAAGGUGGCAGGCUGAGUCAGGGUAGGUUUGGCUGGUGGGGAAAGGAAUGAAGGAGAGAGGAAGAAGGAUUUGGUUGAAGCUUGAAGUGGAGAGGUGGGAAGAAGAAAGAGAAAGGGGCACGAGCGCCAGCACCCAGUGACCAGAUCCGUGAAUCUUUCGAAUAACUCAUGAUAUUAUAAAAUAGGAUUUUUUGCAUAUAUACCCUCCAACAUAUACAAAAUUAUAUGAAUACCCUCAUAAAAUUGCUAUUUCCAUGUAUACUCUUCUUUAUAUAUAUAUAUAUAU